This 657-nucleotide ribosomal RNA is filed under the name Melampsora medusae f. sp. deltoidis. Its description in RNAcentral is "bacterial SSU rRNA". It matches the Rfam family "Bacterial small subunit ribosomal RNA", at positions 966 to 1470 of the family's 1533-position model. The record is from RNAcentral. Lineage: Eukaryota; Fungi; Basidiomycota; Pucciniomycetes; Pucciniales; Melampsoraceae.
GUGCGGCUGGAUCACCUCCUUUCUAUGGAGUACCCGUGCGAAACGGAGUUUCGCACUACCGACCGCAGCGUCGGGGUACAAAUCUGGCGAAAGCCAUCCGUAUUGCAUCUCGUAAUCGGUUUUCAGGGCGUAAGCGCAGAUCCUCCUGCGAUAAAGAGUUCCCCAGUAUGAUCAUGGGGAACUCUUUUUUUGUAUUUACAUGAGCGAGUUAUAAACCAAACAUAAGAUUGCAUGGUUGUCGUCAGCUCGUGUCGUGAGAUGUUGGGUUAAGUCCCGCAACGAGCGCAACCCUUGAUCUUUGUUGCCAGCACGUAAUGGUGGGCACUCUAAGAUGACUGCCGGUGACAAACCGGAGGAAGGCGGGGAUGACGUCAAAUCAUCAUGCCCCUUAUGACCUGGGCUACACACGUACUACAAUGGCCGGUACAGAGGGCAGCGAUACCGCGAGGUGGAGCGAAUCUCAGAAAGCCGGUCUCAGUUCGGAUUGCAGGCUGCAACUCGCCUGCAUGAAGCCGGAAUUGCUAGUAAUCGCGGAUCAGCAUGCCGCGGUGAAUACGUUCCCGGGUCUUGUACACACCGCCCGUCACACCACGAGAGUUUACAACACCCGAAGUCGGUGAGGUAACCGCAAGGAGCCAGCCGCCGAAGGUGGGGUAG